This 492-nucleotide ribosomal RNA is filed under the name uncultured bacterium. RNAcentral describes it as "partial 16S ribosomal RNA". It matches the Rfam family "Bacterial small subunit ribosomal RNA", at positions 29 to 507 of the family's 1533-position model. The record is from RNAcentral.
AGUGAACGCUGGCGGUAGGCCUAACACAUGCAAGUCGAACGGCAGCACAGUAAGAGCUUGCUCUUACGGGUGGCGAGUGGCGUACGGGUGAGGAAUACAUCGGAAUCUACUUUUUCGUGGGGGAUAACGUAGGGAAACUUACGCUAAUACCGCAUACGACCUACGGGUGAAAGCAGGGGAUCUUCGGACCUUGCGCGAUUGAAUGAGCCGAUGUCGGAUUAGCUAGUUGGCGGGGUAAAGGCCCACCAAGGCGACGAUCCGUAGCUGGUCUGAGAGGAUGAUCAGCGACACUGGAACUGAGACACGGUCCAGAGUCCUACGGGAGGCAGCAGUGGGGAAUAUUGGACAAUGGGCGCAAGCCUGAUCCAGCCAUACCGCGUGGGUGAAGAAGGCCUUCGGGUUGUAAAGCCCUUUUGUUGGGAAAGAAAAGCAGCAGGUUAAUACCCCGCUGUUAUGACGGUACCCAAAGAAUAAGCACCGGCUAACUUCGUG